UGUGUUUGUAUUUACUUAUUGUAUGGUGAUGGCAAGAAGCAGAAAAAUUUUGAAAUACUGGUUUCUUAUCGCUGUUUUAGUAGUUAUUUUCAUUGCUGAAAUCGUACCCCAUUUAACUGCUGACGGCGGUUUACCGUGGCCCGACACCAGCGCGAAGUAUGGAACAGUACCAAUCGUAUUUCUUUUAAGUGGCUUAACUCUUCCAACCGAUAAUCUGUUGACUGCUGCCAAACAGUAUGAUUUACAUUUCGUCACCCAGUGUUUUUCACUUUUAUUUACUCCACUCUUCGUCAAACUUUUGACUGUUGUUCUUGCGCCAACUGGUGUGGAUGAUUGGAUUAUGAAAGGUUUUAUCAUUUCUAGCAGUAUGCCUGUCUCAUCGUCAUCCGUCGUGGCUACUAUUUGUGCAGACGGCAACGAGGCAGCUGCAAUAGUAAACUGUAUUGUAGGUGCACUUCUUGGAAUGAUAACGACGCCACUUAUAUUGUUGAUACUGAUAAGAUCAGCAGCAGUGGUUUCACCUGUCAAAUCAUUGCAUGACCUAAUUCUCACUGUGGGCAUACCACUGCUUGUUGGGCAAAUUGUUCGCAAAGUAACCGGAAUGAGACUGCAACACAGUAUUGCAUUGAAGAUUAGACAGUUGGCGUUACUGAUGACUGUGUUUAUAACCUUUUGUGACAUAUUUAUGUCACAUCUAGAUGUAGAAUUACAGCCCAUUAAUGUACUAGUUUCAGUUUUCUCAGUGGUAAUUCUACAAAUGACAUUGCUACUUCUCAUUUUUUGGACAACCAGAUAUCUGCCAUCAAAGUUUUCACUACAGGACACAAAGGCAAUUAUGUUCUGUUCAACACACAAGUCUCUCUCCCUUGGAAUUCCGAUUCUAAGGACAAUGUACUCUGGUUACGGGCACCUUUAUAGUGCAUCACUGCCAUUGUUGCUGUACUAUCCAAGUCAAAUCAUACUGGGAGAACUGCUUGGACAGCACAUGAAAAACUGGGUGAAUUGGGAUUCUGGACAUGAUAAGUAACAAAAUGAAGUCUCAUGUUGCAUCUGGAUGAAUAUAUUCAAUGAAGAUGCAAAUUUACCUCCAUCAUCACGCAGAAAGACGCAGGAGAAAUGAUUAACCAUAAGAAUGUUGUUUCAGAUGGACCUCCUCCAAGCUCGCACUACAACAUACAUCAGUUUAUCAAUGACACUCUGCCUCAACGCUGGACAGGGUGCACGGAUCCCAAGACACGGCCUGCAUUCUUGGCCUCCAAGAUCACCAGACACGACUCCAUGUAAUAUUUUCUUGUGGGGAUAUGUGAAGCAAAGUAUGUUCAUCUCCCCUUUACGUUAUGACAUAGAAAUAGUGCAGAACAAAAUAACAGCCGCUACAACUUCUGUAAAAGCAGAUACGUUGCGUAAGCUAUUGUCUACAGGUUGUUUGUGCUGCUACUAGUGAACACAUUGGGCAUUUGUAACAGCAUAGCUAAAACGUAAAGGUUAUUUUGCAAUUCAUCCAUGUUUGUAGCACAUUUUUAUAAAUAAAUAUCUCUGUGCAUGCACCUGUAUUACAUUUACGUCAGCAAACACUGCAAAACAGUAGACAGUUUAAAACAUGCAAUUCUUCAGUUGUUGUUGUGGUCUUCAGUCCUGAGACUGGUUUGAUACAGCUCUCCAUGCUACUCUAUCCUGUGCAAGCCUGUCCAUCUCCCAGUACCUACUGCAGCCUACAUCCUUCUGAAUCUGCUUAGUGUAUUCAUCUCUUGGUCUCCCCCUACGAUUUUUACCCUCCACGCUGCCCUCCAGUACUAAAUUGGUGAUCCCUUGAUGCCUCAGAACAUGUCCUACCAACCAAUCCCUUCUUCUAGUCAAGUUGUGCCACAAUUCUAUUCAAUACCUCCUCAUUAGUUAUGUGAUCUACCCAUCUAAUCUUCAGCAUUCUUCUGUAGCACCACAUUUCGAAAGCUUCUAUUCUCUUCUUGUCUAAAUUAUUUAUCGGCCAUGUUUCACUUCCAUACAUGGCUACACUCCUUCAGGAGAUUACAAAAUGUAUUGUAUCACUGAAAAGUGCUAAUUUCUCUGGCUAUGACAAUAUUAAAUCUCCCAUGCCUGAUCUUCCAGUUACCCACCACCUACCAAGGUCUCACCAUACAGCCCUCAUAACUCAGUAUUACCCAGGACUGGAGCAACUGAAUUACGUUCCCUGCCACGAUUUGACUACCUCUCAUUGUGCCCUUCAAUAAGCAAUGUCCUGCCCACUAUCCUUCCCACCCCUCCCAUAGUGGUAUUCCACCGUACACCCAACCCACAAAAUACACUCGUCCAUCCCUACACAACCCCUGCUCCCAAUCCCUUACCUAAUGGCUGAUAUCCUUGUAAUAGAUUUAGAUGCAAGACCUGUCCCAUACAUCCUCCCCCCACCAUCACAACUUUCCCAUCAAAGGCAGGGAUAUCUGUGAAACCAGUCAUGUGGUCUACAAGCUAAGCUAAGCUACCACUGUGCUGCAUUCUAUGUCAGCAUGAGAACCAAUAAGCUGUCUGUCCGCAUGAAUGGCCACUGAUAAACAGUGGCCAAGAAACAACUGGAUCACCAUGUUGCUGAGAAAACCAUCCAACACGACAUUCUUAAUUUCAAUGACUGCUUCACAGUCUGUGCCAUAUUCAUCCUUCCACCAACAUCAGCUUUUCUGAACUGCACAGGUGUCUGAAAUAUGUUCUACGUUCGCAUAACCCUCCUGGCCUCAACUUUCGUUUGUCAUAGUCCUCAACCAUGUAGAUCCUUUGUUGUUCCCAUUCCAGCACUACACAGCCCUCUAAUCCACCAACACACCUAGUCUUUUUACUUCUCCCCUUUUCCGC
This is an RNA transcript of Schistocerca serialis cubense, 2844 nucleotides long. It is a transcript of the gene named sodium/bile acid cotransporter 7-like, with no coding region annotated. The transcript has 7 exons. Lineage: Eukaryota; Metazoa; Arthropoda; Insecta; Orthoptera; Acrididae. The record is from RefSeq and is a predicted model, not a curated record.